AUUAAUUGUGUAAAUUAUUUUAAUAUUUAUCUAUUUCUCUCUCUCUCUCUCAUUUAUUUAAUAGUUACGGUUAAUACUCUCUCUCUCUAUUAUUUCUAUUGUUUCAUAGUUACAGUUAGUAUUAAUUAGCACUGAAUUGUGCCGAAUUUAGCAAUUACAAAUUGAGUAAUUAGCAUUUAGUUUAAAAGUAAUUAUUCAUUUCUCCAUCUGACCGACGAAAACAUAACUAACUAAUGUAUAAGAAAAAAAAAAUAUAUUCUUGCAUCCAAAGCAUUUAACGUUUCAAUAAUUAGCAAAAAAGUUCCAAAGCAAAAAUAAAAAGAAAUUAUAAAAAUCCACCGUAAAAAAAAUAAAAAAUAAUGGUUCUUAAUUUUCAUGCUUUUGGCAAUGUCAACUUAAAACUCAUUACUUUCAUUUUAGCCCAAAACCG
Molecule: long non-coding RNA, 430 nt
Filed under: Salvia miltiorrhiza (redroot sage)
Lineage: Eukaryota; Viridiplantae; Streptophyta; Magnoliopsida; Lamiales; Lamiaceae
Description: long non-coding RNA (SMIL_LNC013547)
Source: RNAcentral